UAUGUAAUGAGUCUAUAUAAAGCACUUGAAGUUUGCUAUGCAUAAUGCGAUAACCAAAGAUAAUAAUAGAGUUGAAAGAAUAAAUCUUCAGAAAAAAUGGCAAUGCACAUUUGCAAGCUUUUUCUCUUGGGACUUUUAUGCAUUGCAUUGCUCCUAUCUUCUGCAGGAGCAACAACCCAAGACGAUAAUAGAAAAAUAAAAUGCAUUUUUGGGGAUUGUGCAGAUUGUGGAAGAAGAUGCAUUCUGCAGGGGUUUCGAAAUGGUGAAUGUGAUUUUGAAAUGGAAUGUUGUUGUCAGAAUCCUUUUUAAAAAAAUAUAUAUUAUUAUAAAUACGCAAUAAUAUCGAAUUAAAAUAAAUACGACAACGUUUUCCAUCUAAGCUUUUAUUUUCAUUGCUUGAAGCAUACUCACCUAUUGUCUGGUUUGAGCAGAAGUAGAAGUGGAAGAGUUGAAAGAAGAAUGACUUCUUCAACAUAAAGAUAUGAUAUAUAGUUAAAGAAUAAAAAGUUGUGAUGAAAAAUGUUAUGUUUAAAAUAAUUUACAUCAUUGGUGUAAAUUAUAGUUGAUAUAUUAAUGAAAAAUUACUAUUGUGUUUUAUAA
Long non-coding RNA from Lathyrus oleraceus (garden pea), 600 nucleotides. RefSeq lists it as uncharacterized. The transcript has 2 exons. The record is from RefSeq and is a predicted model, not a curated record. NCBI's taxonomy places the organism in Eukaryota, Viridiplantae, Streptophyta, Magnoliopsida, Fabales, Fabaceae.